GAGAUGCAAGUCUCAUGCUAAGCACUUCCAAGUUGACCUCCCAGAUUGCACAUCCCUAGAGAUUGGGAUGCGACUCCACGGAGGCCAAGCUCCCAUGCUGAGCUUGCAAGUUGAACUCUGAGGUUGCGCAUCCCAUAAGAUCGAGAUGCGAGUCCCUGGGGUUGACCAGAGCUAUUCCGAGCUUCCAAGCCAUGCAUCCCUAA
Molecule: long non-coding RNA, 203 nt
Filed under: Elaeis guineensis (African oil palm)
Lineage: Eukaryota; Viridiplantae; Streptophyta; Magnoliopsida; Arecales; Arecaceae
Description: long non-coding RNA (EGUI_LNC049249)
Source: RNAcentral